AAGUCGUAACAAGGUUUCCGUAGGUGAACCUGCGGAAGGAUCAUUAUAAAAUGCUUUUAAAAAGCACCAACCUUAUGUGCAUUAGACCAUUUUGUAACUUUGGUGCGGUUUUCUGAAAUAUUUUAAUUAAUAUUUUUAGAACUUCUUUCGCCUCUUUAGUUUAUAUGCAAUUUUUUAUGUAUAUUUAUAUAUAUAUUUAUUUUUGUAUGUAAUCUAUUAGGGGGCGUCUAGAAGCGUGCCCACCAGAGGUUUAUAAUAAAAAACACCUUUUUAAAAUAACUUUGUCUGAUUAAUCUUAUUUCUUUAUUGAAAUAAAAAUUUUAAUAAAAAACAACUUUUAACAACGGAUCUCUUGGCUCUCC
RNAcentral lists this unclassified non-coding RNA (362 nucleotides) under fungal sp. Its description in RNAcentral is "partial internal transcribed spacer region". The stretch from base 1 to 46 matches the Rfam family "Eukaryotic small subunit ribosomal RNA", at positions 1786 to 1831 of the family's 1831-position model. The record is from RNAcentral. Lineage: Eukaryota; Fungi.